UUAACUAUUAAGUUCUUCUCAGACUAUACUGUAUACGUGGUUUUCAAAUCCUCCGGCGGGAGACCCGCCGAGGCAACAGAGGUACGGUAGACAAAGGGUGGGAGAUGUACCCCGGAGGGCAGGUUCUCUCUAAUGAUCCUUCCGCAGGUUCACCUACGGAAA
RNAcentral lists this unclassified non-coding RNA (162 nucleotides) under uncultured fungus. RNAcentral's name for it is "sequence contains ITS1". Lineage: Eukaryota; Fungi. The record is from RNAcentral.